CAACAGUUUUUCUGGGCAUUUAGUCUUGAUAGCCUUUCGUAACUGCCUCAGCAAAUUGGCAUAGUAUUCCCCAUUGAUGGUGUGACCCUUUUGAAGAUAGUAAAUAAACACAA
Octopus sinensis (East Asian common octopus) is the source of this 113-nucleotide long non-coding RNA. RefSeq lists it as uncharacterized. The record is from RefSeq and is a predicted model, not a curated record. The transcript is spliced from 3 exons. NCBI's taxonomy places the organism in Eukaryota, Metazoa, Mollusca, Cephalopoda, Octopoda, Octopodidae.